AACACCUCAACUCCCUUUCUUCUUGAAAUGGAGCUGGACUUGAGUGAUCCCAACGCUUUAUUCAUAAAGUGGCGGGUUACUUGAAAUGCAGGUGCAGCUGGACUUUUCUCUGAGCUAUAAGCAUAUCUAUUUAGUCUGCCUCAAAACAGAUUAUUACCUUUGCUGCAGCUAACAUAAAGGAGAUUAGUUCUUGUGCUGACUGAUGCAGGAUUCACAAAGACCGCUUCGGCUGUCUUUGUAA
RNAcentral lists this unclassified non-coding RNA (241 nucleotides) under Mortierella antarctica. RNAcentral's name for it is "partial internal transcribed spacer 2". The record is from RNAcentral. Lineage: Eukaryota; Fungi; Mortierellomycota; Mortierellomycetes; Mortierellales; Mortierellaceae.